RNAcentral lists this long non-coding RNA (33016 nucleotides) under Cucumis sativus (cucumber). RNAcentral's name for it is "long non-coding RNA (CSAT_LNC001527)". The record is from RNAcentral. Lineage: Eukaryota; Viridiplantae; Streptophyta; Magnoliopsida; Cucurbitales; Cucurbitaceae.
CGAAAACAAAAACUGACUCCCGGCAUAUUUUUUUCGGCCUUUAUGGGCAGAGAACUUUAAUACCGCUCGAAAUGAGGCCACCCAGUAGUUAGGUGUGAAUUUUCGAGACCUUUGGCACCGUUCUAAGAUGGGUCCUCUCUUCGUAGGCUAAUGCAUUGGCCCUUUUUGACCCGUUUUGGGGCGAAAACAAAAACUGACUCCCGGGCAUAUUUUUUUCGGCCUUUAUGGGCAGAGAACUUUAAUACCGCUCAAAAUGAGGCCACCCAGUAGUUAGGUGUGAAUUUUCGAGACCUUUGGCACCGUUCUAAGAUGGGUCCUCUCUUCGUAGGCUAAUGCAUUGGCCCUUUUUGACCCGUUUUGGGGCGAAAACAAAAACUGACUCCCGGGCAUAUUUUUUUCGGCCUUUAUGGGCAGAGAACUUUAAUACCGCUCAAAAUGAGGCCACCCAGUAGUUAGGUGUGAAUUUUCGAGACCUUUGGCACCGUUCUAAGAUGGGUCCUCUCUUCGUAGGCUAAUGCAUUGGCCCUUUUUGACCCGUUUUGGGGCGAAAACAAAAACUGACUCCCGGGCAUAUUUUUUUCGGCCUUUAUGGGCAGAGAACUUUAAUACCGCUCAAAAUGAGGCCACCCAGUAGUUAGGUGUGAAUUUUCGAGACCUUUGGCACCGUUCUAAGAUGGGUCCUCUCUUCGUAGGCUAAUGCAUUGGCCCUUUUUGACCCGUUUUGGGGCGAAAACAAAAACUGACUCCCGGGCAUAUUUUUUUCGGCCUUUAUGGGCAGAGAACUUUAAUACCGCUCGAAAUGAGGCCACCCAGUAGUUAGGUGUGAAUUUUCGAGACCUUUGGCACCGUUCUAAGAUGGGUCCUCUCUUCGUAGGCUAAUGCAUUGGCCCUUUUUGACCCGUUUUGGGGCGAAAACAAAAACUGACUCCCGGGCAUAUUUUUUUCGGCCUUUAUGGGCAGAGAACUUUAAUACCGCUCAAAAUGAGGCCACCCAGUAGUUAGGUGUGAAUUUUCGAGACCUUUGGCACCGUUCUAAGAUGGGUCCUCUCUUCGUAGGCUAAUGCAUUGGCCCUUUUUGACCCGUUUUGGGGCGAAAACAAAAACUGACUCCCGGGCAUAUUUUUUUCGGCCUUUAUGGGCAGAGAACUUUAAUGCCGCUCGGAAUGAGGCCACCCAGUAGUUAGGUGUGAAUUUUCGAGACCUUUGGCACCGUUCUAAGAUGGGUCCUCUCUUCGUAGGCUAAUGCAUUGGCCCUUUUUGACCCGUUUUGGGGCGAAAACAAAAACUGACUCCCGGGCAUAUUUUUUUUCGGCCUUUAUGGGCAGAGAACUUUAAUGCCGCUCGGAAUGAGGCCACCCAGUAGUUAGGUGUGAAUUUUCGAGACCUUUGGCACCGUUCUAAGAUGGGUCCUCUCUUCGUAGGCUAAUGCAUUGGCCCUUUUUGACCCGUUUUGGGGCGAAAACAAAAACUGACUCCCGGGCAUAUUUUUUUCGGCCUUUAUGGGCAGAGAACUUUAAUGCCGCUCAGAAUGAGGCCACCCAGUAGUUAGGUGUGAAUUUUCGAGACCUUUGGCACCGUUCUAAGAUGGGUCCUCUCUUCGUAGGCUAAUGCAUUGGCCCUUUUUGACCCGUUUUGGGGCGAAAACAAAAACUGACUCCCGGGCAUAUUUUUUUUCGGCCUUUAUGGGCAGAGAACUUUAAUGCCGCUCAGAAUGAGGCCACCCAGUAGUUAGGUGUGAAUUUUCGAGACCUUUGGCACCGUUCUAAGAUGGGUCCUCUCUUCGUAGGCUAAUGCAUUGGCCCUUUUUGACCCGUUUUGGGGCGAAAACAAAAACUGACUCCCGGGCAUAUUUUUUUCGGCCUUUAUGGGCAGAGAACUUUAAUGCCGCUCGGAAUGAGGCCACCCAGUAGUUAGGUGUGAAUUUUCGAGACCUUUGGCACCGUUCUAAGAUGGGUCCUCUCUUCGUAGGCUAAUGCAUUGGCCCUUUUUGACCCGUUUUGGGGCGAAAACAAAAACUGACUCCCGGGCAUAUUUUUUUCGGCCUUUAUGGGCAGAGAACUUUAAUGCCGCUCGGAAUGAGGCCACCCAGUAGUUAGGUGUGAAUUUUCGAGACCUUUGGCACCGUUCUAAGAUGGGUCCUCUCUUCGUAGGCUAAUGCAUUGGCCCUUUUUUGACCCGUUUUGGGGCGAAAACAAAAACUGACUCCCGGGCAUAUUUUUUUCGGCCUUUAUGGGCAGAGAACUUUAAUGCCGCUCAGAAUGAGGCCACCCAGUAGUUAGGUGUGAAUUUUCGAGACCUUUGGCACCGUUCUAAGAUGGGUCCUCUCUUCGUAGGCUAAUGCAUUGGCCCUUUUUGACCCGUUUUGGGGCGAAAACAAAAACUGACUCCCGGGCAUAUUUUUUUCGGCCUUUAUGGGCAGAGAACUUUAAUGCCGCUCAGAAUGAGGCCACCCAGUAGUUAGGUGUGAAUUUUCGAGACCUUUGGCACCGUUCUAAGAUGGGUCCUCUCUUCGUAGGCUAAUGCAUUGGCCCUUUUUGACCCGUUUUGGGGCGAAAACAAAAACUGACUCCCGGGCAUAUUUUUUUCGGCCUUUAUGGGCAGAGAACUUUAAUGCCGCUCAGAAUGAGGCCACCCAGUAGUUAGGUGUGAAUUUUCGAGACCUUUGGCACCGUUCUAAGAUGGGUCCUCUCUUCGUAGGCUAAUGCAUUGGCCCUUUUUGACCCGUUUUGGGGCGAAAACAAAAACUGACUCCCGGGCAUAUUUUUUUCGGCCUUUAUGGGCAGAGAACUUUAAUGCCGCUCAGAAUGAGGCCACCCAGUAGUUAGGUGUGAAUUUUCGAGACCUUUGGCACCGUUCUAAGAUGGGUCCUCUCUUCGUAGGCUAAUGCAUUGGCCCUUUUUGACCCGUUUUGGGGCGAAAACAAAAACUGACUCCCGGGCAUAUUUUUUUUCGGCCUUUAUGGGCAGAGAACUUUAAUGCCGCUCAGAAUGAGGCCACCCAGUAGUUAGGUGUGAAUUUUCGAGACCUUUGGCACCGUUCUAAGAUGGGUCCUCUCUUCGUAGGCUAAUGCAUUGGCCCUUUUUGACCCGUUUUGGGGCGAAAACAAAAACUGACUCCCGGGCAUAUUUUUUUCGGCCUUUAUGGGCAGAGAACUUUAAUGCCGCUCAGAAUGAGGCCACCCAGUAGUUAGGUGUGAAUUUUCGAGACCUCUGGCACCGUUCUAAGAUGGGUCCUCUCUUCGUAGGCUAAUGCAUUGGCCCUUUUUGACCCGUUUUGGGGCGAAAACAAAAACUGACUCCCGGGCAUAUUUUUUUCGGCCUUUAUGGGCAGAGAACUUUAAUGCCGCUCAGAAUGAGGCCACCCAGUAGUUAGGUGUGAAUUUUCGAGACCUCUGGCACCGUUCUAAGAUGGGUCCUCUCUUCGUAGGCUAAUGCAUUGGCCCUUUUUGACCCGUUUUGGGGCGAAAACAAAAACUGACUCCCGGGCAUAUUUUUUUCGGCCUUUAUGGGCAGAGAACUUUAAUGCCGCUCAGAAUGAGGCCACCCAGUAGUUAGGUGUGAAUUUUCGAGACCUCUGGCACCGUUCUAAGAUGGGUCCUCUCUUCGUAGGCUAAUGCAUUGGCCCUUUUUGACCCGUUUUGGGGCGAAAACAAAAACUGACUCCCGGGCAUAUUUUUUUCGGCCUUUAUGGGCAGAGAACUUUAAUGCCGCUCAGAAUGAGGCCACCCAGUAGUUAGGUGUGAAUUUUCGAGACCUCUGGCACCGUUCUAAGAUGGGUCCUCUCUUCGUAGGCUAAUGCAUUGGCCCUUUUUGACCCGUUUUGGGGCGAAAACAAAAACUGACUCCCGGGCAUAUUUUUUUCGGCCUUUAUGGGCAGAGAACUUUAAUGCCGCUCAGAAUGAGGCCACCCAGUAGUUAGGUGUGAAUUUUCGAGACCUCUGGCACCGUUCUAAGAUGGGUCCUCUCUUCGUAGGCUAAUGCAUUGGCCCUUUUUGACCCGUUUUGGGGCGAAAACAAAAACUGACUCCCGGGCAUAUUUUUUUCGGCCUUUAUGGGCAGAGAACUUUAAUGCCGCUCAGAAUGAGGCCACCCAGUAGUUAGGUGUGAAUUUUCGAGACCUCUGGCACCGUUCUAAGAUGGGUCCUCUCUUCGUAGGCUAAUGCAUUGGCCCUUUUUGACCCGUUUUGGGGCGAAAACAAAAACUGACUCCCGGGCAUAUUUUUUUCGGCCUUUAUGGGCAGAGAACUUUAAUGCCGCUCAGAAUGAGGCCACCCAGUAGUUAGGUGUGAAUUUUCGAGACCUCUGGCACCGUUCUAAGAUGGGUCCUCUCUUCGUAGGCUAAUGCAUUGGCCCUUUUUGACCCGUUUUGGGGCGAAAACAAAAACUGACUCCCGGGCAUAUUUUUUUCGGCCUUUAUGGGCAGAGAACUUUAAUGCCGCUCAGAAUGAGGCCACCCAGUAGUUAGGUGUGAAUUUUCGAGACCUCUGGCACCGUUCUAAGAUGGGUCCUCUCUUCGUAGGCUAAUGCAUUGGCCCUUUUUGACCCGUUUUGGGGCGAAAACAAAAACUGACUCCCGGGCAUAUUUUUUUCGGCCUUUAUGGGCAGAGAACUUUAAUGCCGCUCAGAAUGAGGCCACCCAGUAGUUAGGUGUGAAUUUUCGAGACCUCUGGCACCGUUCUAAGAUGGGUCCUCUCUUCGUAGGCUAAUGCAUUGGCCCUUUUUGACCCGUUUUGGGGCGAAAACAAAAACUGACUCCCGGGCAUAUUUUUUUCGGCCUUUUAUGGGCAGAGAACUUUAAUGCCGCUCAGAAUGAGGCCACCCAGUAGUUAGGUGUGAAUUUUCGAGACCUCUGGCACCGUUCUAAGAUGGGUCCUCUCUUCGUAGGCUAAUGCAUUGGCCCUUUUUGACCCGUUUUGGGGCGAAAACAAAAACUGACUCCCGGGCAUAUUUUUUUCGGCCUUUAUGGGCAGAGAACUUUAAUGCCGCUCAGAAUGAGGCCACCCAGUAGUUAGGUGUGAAUUUUCGAGACCUCUGGCACCGUUCUAAGAUGGGUCCUCUCUUCGUAGGCUAAUGCAUUGGCCCUUUUUGACCCGUUUUGGGGCGAAAACAAAAACUGACUCCCGGGCAUAUUUUUUUCGGCCUUUAUGGGCAGAGAACUUUAAUGCCGCUCAGAAUGAGGCCACCCAGUAGUUAGGUGUGAAUUUUCGAGACCUCUGGCACCGUUCUAAGAUGGGUCCUCUCUUCGUAGGCUAAUGCAUUGGCCCUUUUUGACCCGUUUUGGGGCGAAAACAAAAACUGACUCCCGGGCAUAUUUUUUUCGGCCUUUAUGGGCAGAGAACUUUAAUGCCGCUCAGAAUGAGGCCACCCAGUAGUUAGGUGUGAAUUUUCGAGACCUCUGGCACCGUUCUAAGAUGGGUCCUCUCUUCGUAGGCUAAUGCAUUGGCCCUUUUUGACCCGUUUUGGGGCGAAAACAAAAACUGACUCCCGGGCAUAUUUUUUUCGGCCUUUAUGGGCAGAGAACUUUAAUGCCGCUCAGAAUGAGGCCACCCAGUAGUUAGGUGUGAAUUUUCGAGACCUCUGGCACCGUUCUAAGAUGGGUCCUCUCUUCGUAGGCUAAUGCAUUGGCCCUUUUUGACCCGUUUUGGGGCGAAAAAAAAAAACUGACUCCCGGGCAUAUUUUUUUCGGCCUUUAUGGGCAGAGAACUUUAAUGCCGCUCAGAAUGAGGCCACCCAGUAGUUAGGUGUGAAUUUUCGAGACCUCUGGCACCGUUCUAAGAUGGGUCCUCUCUUCGUAGGCUAAUGCAUUGGCCCUUUUUGACCCGUUUUGGGGCGAAAACAAAAACUGACUCCCGGGCAUAUUUUUUUCGGCCUUUAUGGGCAGAGAACUUUAAUGCCGCUCAGAAUGAGGCCACCCAGUAGUUAGGUGUGAAUUUUCGAGACCUCUGGCACCGUUCUAAGAUGGGUCCUCUCUUCGUAGGCUAAUGCAUUGGCCCUUUUUGACCCGUUUUGGGGCGAAAACAAAAACUGACUCCCGGGCAUAUUUUUUUCGGCCUUUAUGGGCAGAGAACUUUAAUGCCGCUCAGAAUGAGGCCACCCAGUAGUUAGGUGUGAAUUUUCGAGACCUCUGGCACCGUUCUAAGAUGGGUCCUCUCUUCGUAGGCUAAUGCAUUGGCCCUUUUUGACCCGUUUUGGGGCGAAAACAAAAACUGACUCCCGGGCAUAUUUUUUUCGGCCUUUAUGGGCAGAGAACUUUAAUGCCGCUCAGAAUGAGGCCACCCAGUAGUUAGGUGUGAAUUUUCGAGACCUCUGGCACCGUUCUAAGAUGGGUCCUCUCUUCGUAGGCUAAUGCAUUGGCCCUUUUUGACCCGUUUUGGGGCGAAAACAAAAACUGACUCCCGGGCAUAUUUUUUUCGGCCUUUAUGGGCAGAGAACUUUAAUGCCGCUCAGAAUGAGGCCACCCAGUAGUUAGGUGUGAAUUUUCGAGACCUCUGGCACCGUUCUAAGAUGGGUCCUCUCUUCGUAGGCUAAUGCAUUGGCCCUUUUUGACCCGUUUUGGGGCGAAAACAAAAACUGACUCCCGGGCAUAUUUUUUUCGGCCUUUAUGGGCAGAGAACUUUAAUGCCGCUCAGAAUGAGGCCACCCAGUAGUUAGGUGUGAAUUUUCGAGACCUCUGGCACCGUUCUAAGAUGGGUCCUCUCUUCGUAGGCUAAUGCAUUGGCCCUUUUUGACCCGUUUUGGGGCGAAAACAAAAACUGACUCCCGGGCAUAUUUUUUUCGGCCUUUAUGGGCAGAGAACUUUAAUACCGCUCAGAAUGAGGCCACCCAGUAGUUAGGUGUGAAUUUUCGAGACCUCUGGCACCGUUCUAAGAUGGGUCCUCUCUUCGUAGGCUAAUGCAUUGGCCCUUUUUGACCCGUUUUGGGGCGAAAACAAAAACUGACUCCCGGGCAUAUUUUUUUCGGCCUUUAUGGGCAGAGAACUUUAAUGCCGCUCAGAAUGAGGCCACCCAGUAGUUAGGUGUGAAUUUUCGAGACCUCUGGCACCGUUCUAAGAUGGGUCCUCUCUUCGUAGGCUAAUGCAUUGGCCCUUUUUGACCCGUUUUGGGGCGAAAACAAAAACUGACUCCCGGGCAUAUUUUUUUCGGCCUUUAUGGGCAGAGAACUUUAAUACCGCUCAGAAUGAGGCCACCCAGUAGUUAGGUGUGAAUUUUCGAGACCUCUGGCACCGUUCUAAGAUGGGUCCUCUCUUCGUAGGCUAAUGCAUUGGCCCUUUUUGACCCGUUUUGGGGCGAAAACAAAAACUGACUCCCGGGCAUAUUUUUUUCGGCCUUUAUGGGCAGAGAACUUUAAUACCGCUCAGAAUGAGGCCACCCAGUAGUUAGGUGUGAAUUUUCGAGACCUCUGGCACCGUUCUAAGAUGGGUCCUCUCUUCGUAGGCUAAUGCAUUGGCCCUUUUUGACCCGUUUUGGGGCGAAAACAAAAACUGACUCCCGGGCAUAUUUUUUUCGGCCUUUAUGGGCAGAGAACUUUAAUACCGCUCAGAAUGAGGCCACCCAGUAGUUAGGUGUGAAUUUUCGAGACCUCUGGCACCGUUCUAAGAUGGGUCCUCUCUUCGUAGGCUAAUGCAUUGGCCCUUUUUGACCCGUUUUGGGGCGAAAACAAAAACUGACUCCCGGGCAUAUUUUUUUCGGCCUUUAUGGGCAGAGAACUUUAAUACCGCUCAGAAUGAGGCCACCCAGUAGUUAGGUGUGAAUUUUCGAGACCUCUGGCACCGUUCUAAGAUGGGUCCUCUCUUCGUAGGCUAAUGCAUUGGCCCUUUUUGACCCGUUUUGGGGCGAAAACAAAAACUGACUCCCGGGCAUAUUUUUUUCGGCCUUUAUGGGCAGAGAACUUUAAUGCCGCUCAGAAUGAGGCCACCCAGUAGUUAGGUGUGAAUUUUCGAGACCUCUGGCACCGUUCUAAGAUGGGUCCUCUCUUCGUAGGCUAAUGCAUUGGCCCUUUUUGACCCGUUUUGGGGCGAAAACAAAAACUGACUCCCGGGCAUAUUUUUUUCGGCCUUUAUGGGCAGAGAACUUUAAUACCGCUCAGAAUGAGGCCACCCAGUAGUUAGGUGUGAAUUUUCGAGACCUCUGGCACCGUUCUAAGAUGGGUCCUCUCUUCGUAGGCUAAUGCAUUGGCCCUUUUUGACCCGUUUUGGGGCGAAAACAAAAACUGACUCCCGGGCAUAUUUUUUUCGGCCUUUAUGGGCAGAGAACUUUAAUGCCGCUCAGAAUGAGGCCACCCAGUAGUUAGGUGUGAAUUUUCGAGACCUCUGGCACCGUUCUAAGAUGGGUCCUCUCUUCGUAGGCUAAUGCAUUGGCCCUUUUUGACCCGUUUUGGGGCGAAAACAAAAACUGACUCCCGGGCAUAUUUUUUUCGGCCUUUAUGGGCAGAGAACUUUAAUGCCGCUCAGAAUGAGGCCACCCAGUAGUUAGGUGUGAAUUUUCGAGACCUCUGGCACCGUUCUAAGAUGGGUCCUCUCUUCGUAGGCUAAUGCAUUGGCCCUUUUUGACCCGUUUUGGGGCGAAAACAAAAACUGACUCCCGGGCAUAUUUUUUUCGGCCUUUAUGGGCAGAGAACUUUAAUACCGCUCAGAAUGAGGCCACCCAGUAGUUAGGUGUGAAUUUUCGAGACCUCUGGCACCGUUCUAAGAUGGGUCCUCUCUUCGUAGGCUAAUGCAUUGGCCCUUUUUGACCCGUUUUGGGGCGAAAACAAAAACUGACUCCCGGGCAUAUUUUUUUCGGCCUUUAUGGGCAGAGAACUUUAAUGCCGCUCAGAAUGAGGCCACCCAGUAGUUAGGUGUGAAUUUUCGAGACCUCUGGCACCGUUCUAAGAUGGGUCCUCUCUUCGUAGGCUAAUGCAUUGGCCCUUUUUGACCCGUUUUGGGGCGAAAACAAAAACUGACUCCCGGGCAUAUUUUUUUCGGCCUUUAUGGGCAGAGAACUUUAAUGCCGCUCAGAAUGAGGCCACCCAGUAGUUAGGUGUGAAUUUUCGAGACCUCUGGCACCGUUCUAAGAUGGGUCCUCUCUUCGUAGGCUAAUGCAUUGGCCCUUUUUGACCCGUUUUGGGGCGAAAACAAAAACUGACUCCCGGGCAUAUUUUUUUCGGCCUUUAUGGGCAGAGAACUUUAAUGCCGCUCAGAAUGAGGCCACCCAGUAGUUAGGUGUGAAUUUUCGAGACCUCUGGCACCGUUCUAAGAUGGGUCCUCUCUUCGUAGGCUAAUGCAUUGGCCCUUUUUGACCCGUUUUGGGGCGAAAACAAAAACUGACUCCCGGGCAUAUUUUUUUCGGCCUUUAUGGGCAGAGAACUUUAAUGCCGCUCAGAAUGAGGCCACCCAGUAGUUAGGUGUGAAUUUUCGAGACCUCUGGCACCGUUCUAAGAUGGGUCCUCUCUUCGUAGGCUAAUGCAUUGGCCCUUUUUGACCCGUUUUGGGGCGAAAACAAAAACUGACUCCCGGGCAUAUUUUUUUCGGCCUUUAUGGGCAGAGAACUUUAAUGCCGCUCAGAAUGAGGCCACCCAGUAGUUAGGUGUGAAUUUUCGAGACCUCUGGCACCGUUCUAAGAUGGGUCCUCUCUUCGUAGGCUAAUGCAUUGGCCCUUUUUGACCCGUUUUGGGGCGAAAACAAAAACUGACUCCCGGGCAUAUUUUUUUCGGCCUUUAUGGGCAGAGAACUUUAAUGCCGCUCAGAAUGAGGCCACCCAGUAGUUAGGUGUGAAUUUUCGAGACCUCUGGCACCGUUCUAAGAUGGGUCCUCUCUUCGUAGGCUAAUGCAUUGGCCCUUUUUGACCCGUUUUGGGGCGAAAACAAAAACUGACUCCCGGGCAUAUUUUUUUCGGCCUUUAUGGGCAGAGAACUUUAAUGCCGCUCAGAAUGAGGCCACCCAGUAGUUAGGUGUGAAUUUUCGAGACCUCUGGCACCGUUCUAAGAUGGGUCCUCUCUUCGUAGGCUAAUGCAUUGGCCCUUUUUGACCCGUUUUGGGGCGAAAACAAAAACUGACUCCCGGGCAUAUUUUUUUCGGCCUUUAUGGGCAGAGAACUUUAAUGCCGCUCAGAAUGAGGCCACCCAGUAGUUAGGUGUGAAUUUUCGAGACCUCUGGCACCGUUCUAAGAUGGGUCCUCUCUUCGUAGGCUAAUGCAUUGGCCCUUUUUGACCCGUUUUGGGGCGAAAACAAAAACUGACUCCCGGGCAUAUUUUUUUCGGCCUUUAUGGGCAGAGAACUUUAAUGCCGCUCAGAAUGAGGCCACCCAGUAGUUAGGUGUGAAUUUUCGAGACCUCUGGCACCGUUCUAAGAUGGGUCCUCUCUUCGUAGGCUAAUGCAUUGGCCCUUUUUGACCCGUUUUGGGGCGAAAACAAAAACUGACUCCCGGGCAUAUUUUUUUCGGCCUUUAUGGGCAGAGAACUUUAAUGCCGCUCAGAAUGAGGCCACCCAGUAGUUAGGUGUGAAUUUUCGAGACCUCUGGCACCGUUCUAAGAUGGGUCCUCUCUUCGUAGGCUAAUGCAUUGGCCCUUUUUGACCCGUUUUGGGGCGAAAACAAAAACUGACUCCCGGGCAUAUUUUUUUCGGCCUUUAUGGGCAGAGAACUUUAAUGCCGCUCAGAAUGAGGCCACCCAGUAGUUAGGUGUGAAUUUUCGAGACCUCUGGCACCGUUCUAAGAUGGGUCCUCUCUUCGUAGGCUAAUGCAUUGGCCCUUUUUGACCCGUUUUGGGGCGAAAACAAAAACUGACUCCCGGGCAUAUUUUUUUCGGCCUUUAUGGGCAGAGAACUUUAAUACCGCUCAGAAUGAGGCCACCCAGUAGUUAGGUGUGAAUUUUCGAGACCUCUGGCACCGUUCUAAGAUGGGUCCUCUCUUCGUAGGCUAAUGCAUUGGCCCUUUUUGACCCGUUUUGGGGCGAAAACAAAAACUGACUCCCGGGCAUAUUUUUUUCGGCCUUUAUGGGCAGAGAACUUUAAUGCCGCUCAGAAUGAGGCCACCCAGUAGUUAGGUGUGAAUUUUCGAGACCUCUGGCACCGUUCUAAGAUGGGUCCUCUCUUCGUAGGCUAAUGCAUUGGCCCUUUUUGACCCGUUUUGGGGCGAAAACAAAAACUGACUCCCGGGCAUAUUUUUUUCGGCCUUUAUGGGCAGAGAACUUUAAUACCGCUCAGAAUGAGGCCACCCAGUAGUUAGGUGUGAAUUUUCGAGACCUCUGGCACCGUUCUAAGAUGGGUCCUCUCUUCGUAGGCUAAUGCAUUGGCCCUUUUUGACCCGUUUUGGGGCGAAAACAAAAACUGACUCCCGGGCAUAUUUUUUUCGGCCUUUAUGGGCAGAGAACUUUAAUGCCGCUCAGAAUGAGGCCACCCAGUAGUUAGGUGUGAAUUUUCGAGACCUCUGGCACCGUUCUAAGAUGGGUCCUCUCUUCGUAGGCUAAUGCAUUGGCCCUUUUUGACCCGUUUUGGGGCGAAAACAAAAACUGACUCCCGGGCAUAUUUUUUUCGGCCUUUAUGGGCAGAGAACUUUAAUGCCGCUCAGAAUGAGGCCACCCAGUAGUUAGGUGUGAAUUUUCGAGACCUCUGGCACCGUUCUAAGAUGGGUCCUCUCUUCGUAGGGCUAAUGCAUUGGCCCUUUUUGACCCGUUUUGGGGCGAAAACAAAAACUGACUCCCGGGCAUAUUUUUUUCGGCCUUUAUGGGCAGAGAACUUUAAUACCGCUCAGAAUGAGGCCACCCAGUAGUUAGGUGUGAAUUUUCGAGACCUCUGGCACCGUUCUAAGAUGGGUCCUCUCUUCGUAGGCUAAUGCAUUGGCCCUUUUUGACCCGUUUUGGGGCGAAAACAAAAACUGACUCCCGGGCAUAUUUUUUUCGGCCUUUAUGGGCAGAGAACUUUAAUGCCGCUCAGAAUGAGGCCACCCAGUAGUUAGGUGUGAAUUUUCGAGACCUCUGGCACCGUUCUAAGAUGGGUCCUCUCUUCGUAGGCUAAUGCAUUGGCCCUUUUUGACCCGUUUUGGGGCGAAAACCAAAAACUGACUCCCGGGCAUAUUUUUUUCGGCCUUUAUGGGCAGAGAACUUUAAUACCGCUCAGAAUGAGGCCACCACCCAGUAGUUAGGUGUGAAUUUUCGAGACCUCUGGCACCGUUCUAAGAUGGGUCCUCUCUUCGUAGGCUAAUGCAUUGGCCCUUUUUGACCCGUUUUGGGGCGAAAACAAAAACUGACUCCCGGGCAUAUUUUUUUCGGCCUUUAUGGGCAGAGAAACUUUAAUGCCGCUCAGAAUGAGGCCACCCAGUAGUUAGGUGUGAAUUUUCGAGACCUCUGGCACCGUUCUAAGAUGGGUCCUCUCUUCGUAGGCUAAUGCAUUGGCCCUUUUUGACCCGUUUUGGGGCGAAAACAAAAACUGACUCCCGGGCAUAUUUUUUUCGGCCUUUAUGGGCAGAGAACUUUAAUACCGCUCAGAAUGAGGCCACCCAGUAGUUAGGUGUGAAUUUUCGAGACCUCUGGCACCGUUCUAAGAUGGGUCCUCUCUUCGUAGGCUAAUGCAUUGGCCCUUUUUGACCCGUUUUGGGGCGAAAACAAAAACUGACUCCCGGGCAUAUUUUUUUCGGCCUUUAUGGGCAAAGAACUUUAAUGCCGCUCAGAAUGAGGCCACCCAGUAGUUAGGUGUGAAUUUUCGAGACCUCUGGCACCGUUCUAAGAUGGGUCCUCUCUUCGUAGGCUAAUGCAUUGGCCCUUUUUGACCCGUUUUGGGGCGAAAAACAAAAACUGACUCCCGGGCAUAUUUUUUUCGGCCUUUAUGGGCAAAGAACUUUAAUGCCGCUCAGAAUGAGGCCACCCAGUAGUUAGGUGUGAAUUUUCGAGACCUCUGGCACCGUUCUAAGAUGGGUCCUCUCUUCGUAGGCUAAUGCAUUGGCCCUUUUUGACCCGUUUUGGGGCGAAAACAAAAAACUGACUCCCGGGCAUAUUUUUUUCGGCCUUUAUGGGCAGAGAACUUUAAUGCCGCUCAGAAUGAGGCCACCCAGUAGUUAGGUGUGAAUUUUCGAGACCUCUGGCACCGUUCUAAGAUGGGUCCUCUCUUCGUAGGCUAAUGCAUUGGCCCUUUUUGACCCGUUUUGGGGCGAAAACAAAAACUGACUCCCGGGCAUAUUUUUUUCGGCCUUUAUGGGCAGAGAACUUUAAUACCGCUCAGAAUGAGGCCACCCAGUAGUUAGGUGUGAAUUUUCGAGACCUCUGGCACCGUUCUAAGAUGGGUCCUCUCUUCGUAGGCUAAUGCAUUGGCCCUUUUUGACCCGUUUUGGGGCGAAAACAAAAACUGACUCCCGGGCAUAUUUUUUUCGGCCUUUAUGGGCAGAGAACUUUAAUACCGCUCAGAAUGAGGCCACCCAGUAGUUAGGUGUGAAUUUUCGAGACCCUCUGGCACCGUUCUAAGAUGGGUCCUCUCUUCGUAGGCUAAUGCAUUGGCCCUUUUUGACCCGUUUUGGGGCGAAAACAAAAACUGACUCCCGGGCAUAUUUUUUUCGGCCUUUAUGGGCAGAGAACUUUAAUACCGCUCAGAAUGAGGCCACCCAGUAGUUAGGUGUGAAUUUUCGAGACCUCUUGGCACCGUUCUAAGAUGGGUCCUCUCUUCGUAGGCUAAUGCAUUGGCCCUUUUUGACCCGUUUUGGGGCGAAAACAAAAACUGACUCCCGGGCAUAUUUUUUUCGGCCUUUAUGGGCAGAGAACUUUAAUGCCGCUCAGAAUGAGGCCACCCAGUAGUUAGGUGUGAAUUUUCGAGACCUCUGGCACCGUUCUAAGAUGGGUCCUCUCUUCGUAGGCUAAUGCAUUGGCCCUUUUUGACCCGUUUUGGGGCGAAAACAAAAACUGACUCCCGGGCAUAUUUUUUUCGGCCUUUAUGGGCAGAGAACUUUAAUACCGCUCAAAAAUGAGGCCACCCAGUAGUUAGGUGUGAAUUUUCGAGACCUCUGGCACCGUUCUAAGAUGGGUCCUCUCUUCGUAGGCUAAUGCAUUGGCCCUUUUUGACCCGUUUUGGGGCGAAAACAAAAACUGACUCCCGGGCAUAUUUUUUUCGGCCUUUAUGGGCAGAGAACUUUAAUACCGCUCAGAAUGAGGCCACCCAGUAGUUAGGUGUGAAUUUUCGAGACCUUUGGCACCGUUCUAAGAUGGGUCCUCUCUUCGUAGGCUAAUGCAUUGGCCCUUUUUGACCCGUUUUGGGGCGAAAACAAAAACUGACUCCCGGGCAUAUUUUUUUCGGCCUUUAUGGGCAGAGAACUUUAAUGCCGCUCAGAAUGAGGCCACCCAGUAGUUAGGUGUGAAUUUUCGAGACCUCUGGCACCGUUCUAAGAUGGGUCCUCUCUUCGUAGGCUAAUGCAUUGGCCCUUUUUGACCCGUUUUGGGGCGAAAACAAAAACUGACUCCCGGGCAUAUUUUUUUCGGCCUUUAUGGGCAGAGAACUUUAAUGCCGCUCAGAAUGAGGCCACCCAGUAGUUAGGUGUGAAUUUUCGAGACCUCUGGCACCGUUCUAAGAUGGGUCCUCUCUUCGUAGGCUAAUGCAUUGGCCCUUUUUGACCCGUUUUGGGGCGAAAACAAAAACUGACUCCCGGGCAUAUUUUUUUCGGCCUUUAUGGGCAGAGAACUUUAAUACCGCUCAGAAUGAGGCCACCCAGUAGUUAGGUGUGAAUUUUCGAGACCUCUGGCACCGUUCUAAGAUGGGUCCUCUCUUCGUAGGCUAAUGCAUUGGCCCUUUUUGACCCGUUUUGGGGCGAAAACAAAAACUGACUCCCGGGCAUAUUUUUUUCGGCCUUUAUGGGCAGAGAACUUUAAUACCGCUCAGAAUGAGGCCACCCAGUAGUUAGGUGUGAAUUUUCGAGACCUCUGGCACCGUUCUAAGAUGGGUCCUCUCUUCGUAGGCUAAUGCAUUGGCCCUUUUUGACCCGUUUUGGGGCGAAAACAAAAACUGACUCCCGGGCAUAUUUUUUUCGGCCUUUAUGGGCAGAGAACUUUAAUACCGCUCAGAAUGAGGCCACCCAGUAGUUAGGUGUGAAUUUUCGAGACCUUCUGGCACCGUUCUAAGAUGGGUCCUCUCUUCGUAGGCUAAUGCAUUGGCCCUUUUUGACCCGUUUUGGGGCGAAAACAAAAACUGACUCCCGGGCAUAUUUUUUUCGGCCUUUAUGGGCAGAGAACUUUAAUGCCGCUCAGAAUGAGGCCACCCAGUAGUUAGGUGUGAAUUUUCGAGACCUCUGGCACCGUUCUAAGAUGGGUCCUCUCUUCGUAGGCUAAUGCAUUGGCCCUUUUUGACCCGUUUUGGGGCGAAAACAAAAACUGACUCCCGGGCAUAUUUUUUUCGGCCUUUAUGGGCAGAGAACUUUAAUACCGCUCAGAAUGAGGCCACCCAGUAGUUAGGUGUGAAUUUUCGAGACCUCUGGCACCGUUCUAAGAUGGGUCCUCUCUUCGUAGGCUAAUGCAUUGGCCCUUUUUGACCCGUUUUGGGGCGAAAACAAAAACUGACUCCCGGGCAUAUUUUUUUCGGCCUUUAUGGGCAGAGAACUUUAAUACCGCUCAGAAUGAGGCCACCCAGUAGUUAGGUGUGAAUUUUCGAGACCUCUGGCACCGUUCUAAGAUGGGUCCUCUCUUCGUAGGCUAAUGCAUUGGCCCUUUUUGACCCGUUUUGGGGCGAAAACAAAAACUGACUCCCGGGCAUAUUUUUUUCGGCCUUUAUGGGCAGAGAACUUUAAUGCCGCUCAGAAUGAGGCCACCCAGUAGUUAGGUGUGAAUUUUCGAGACCUCUGGCACCGUUCUAAGAUGGGUCCUCUCUUCGUAGGCUAAUGCAUUGGCCCUUUUUGACCCGUUUUGGGGCGAAAACAAAAACUGACUCCCGGGCAUAUUUUUUUCGGCCUUUAUGGGCAGAGAACUUUAAUACCGCUCAGAAAUGAGGCCACCCAGUAGUUAGGUGUGAAUUUUCGAGACCUCUGGCACCGUUCUAAGAUGGGUCCUCUCUUCGUAGGCUAAUGCAUUGGCCCUUUUUGACCCGUUUUGGGGCGAAAACAAAAACUGACUCCCGGGCAUAUUUUUUUCGGCCUUUAUGGGCAGAGAACUUUAAUACCGCUCAGAAUGAGGCCACCCAGUAGUUAGGUGUGAAUUUUCGAGACCUCUCGGCACCGUUCUAAGAUGGGUCCUCUCUUCGUAGGCUAAUGCAUUGGCCCUUUUUGACCCGUUUUGGGGCGAAAACAAAAACUGACUCCCGGGCAUAUUUUUUUCGGCCUUUAUGGGCAGAGAACUUUAAUGCCGCUCAGAAAUGAGGCCACCCAGUAGUUAGGUGUGAAUUUUCGAGACCUCUGGCACCGUUCUAAGAUGGGUCCUCUCUUCGUAGGCUAAUGCAUUGGCCCUUUUUGACCCGUUUUGGGGCGAAAACAAAAACUGACUCCCGGGCAUAUUUUUUUCGGCCUUUAUGGGCAGAGAACUUUAAUACCGCUCAGAAUGAGGCCACCCAGUAGUUAGGUGUGAAUUUUCGAGACCUCUGGCACCGUUCUAAGAUGGGUCCUCUCUUCGUAGGCUAAUGCAUUGGCCCUUUUUGACCCGUUUUGGGGCGAAAACAAAAACUGACUCCCGGGCAUAUUUUUUUCGGCCUUUAUGGGCAGAGAACUUUAAUACCGCUCAGAAUGAGGCCACCCAGUAGUUAGGUGUGAAUUUUCGAGACCUCUUGGCACCGUUCUAAGAUGGGUCCUCUCUUCGUAGGCUAAUGCAUUGGCCCUUUUUGACCCGUUUUGGGGCGAAAACAAAAACUGACUCCCGGGCAUAUUUUUUUCGGCCUUUAUGGGCAGAGAACUUUAAUGCCGCUCAGAAUGAGGCCACCCAGUAGUUAGGUGUGAAUUUUCGAGACCUCUGGCACCGUUCUAAGAUGGGUCCUCUCUUCGUAGGCUAAUGCAUUGGCCCUUUUUGACCCGUUUUGGGGCGAAAACAAAAACUGACUCCCGGGCAUAUUUUUUUCGGCCUUUAUGGGCAGAGAACUUUAAUGCCGCUCAGAAUGAGGCCACCCAGUAGUUAGGUGUGAAUUUUCGAGACCUUUGGCACCGUUCUAAGAUGGGUCCUCUCUUCGUAGGCUAAUGCAUUGGCCCUUUUUGACCCGUUUUGGGGCGAAAACAAAAACUGACUCCCGGGCAUAUUUUUUUCGGCCUUUAUGGGCAGAGAACUUUAAUACCGCUCAGAAUGAGGCCACCCAGUAGUUAGGUGUGAAUUUUCGAGACCUCUGGCACCGUUCUAAGAUGGGUCCUCUCUUCGUAGGCUAAUGCAUUGGCCCUUUUUGACCCGUUUUGGGGCGAAAACAAAAACUGACUCCCGGGCAUAUUUUUUUCGGCCUUUAUGGGCAGAGAACUUUAAUGCCGCUCAGAAUGAGGCCACCCAGUAGUUAGGUGUGAAUUUUCGAGACCUCUGGCACCGUUCUAAGAUGGGUCCUCUCUUCGUAGGCUAAUGCAUUGGCCCUUUUUGACCCGUUUUGGGGCGAAAACAAAAACUGACUCCCGGGCAUAUUUUUUUCGGCCUUUAUGGGCAGAGAACUUUAAUACCGCUCAGAAUGAGGCCACCCAGUAGUUAGGUGUGAAUUUUCGAGACCUCUGGCACCGUUCUAAGAUGGGUCCUCUCUUCGUAGGCUAAUGCAUUGGCCCUUUUUGACCCGUUUUGGGGCGAAAACAAAAACUGACUCCCGGGCAUAUUUUUUUCGGCCUUUAUGGGCAGAGAACUCUUAAUAGCCGCUCAGAAAUGGCCAGGCCACCCAGUAGUUAGGUGUGAAUUUUCGAGACCUCUGGCACCGUUCUAAGAUGGGUCCUCUCUUCGUAGGCUAAUGCAUUGGCCCUUUUUGACCCGUUUUGGGGCGAAAACAAAAACUGACUCCCGGGCAUAUUUUUUUCGGCCUUUAUGGGCAGAGAACUUUAAUGCCGCUCAGAAUGAGGCCACCCAGUAGUUAGGUGUGAAUUUUCGAGACCUCUGGCACCGUUCUAAGAUGGGUCCUCUCUUCGUAGGCUAAUGCAUUGGCCCUUUUUGACCCGUUUUGGGGCGAAAACAAAAACUGACUCCCGGGCAUAUUUUUUUCGGCCUUUAUGGGCAGAGAACUUUAAUGCCGCUCAGAAUGAGGCCACCCAGUAGUUAGGUGUGAAUUUUCGAGACCUUUGGCACCGUUCUAAGAUGGGUCCUCUCUUCGUAGGCUAAUGCAUUGGCCCUUUUUGACCCGUUUUGGGGCGAAAACAAAAACUGACUCCCGGGCAUAUUUUUUUCGGCCUUUAUGGGCAGAGAACUUUAAUGCCGCUCAGAAUGAGGCCACCCAGUAGUUAGGUGUGAAUUUUCGAGACCUCUGGCACCGUUCUAAGAUGGGUCCUCUCUUCGUAGGCUAAUGCAUUGGCCCUUUUUGACCCGUUUUGGGGCGAAAACAAAAACUGACUCCCGGGCAUAUUUUUUUCGGCCUUUAUGGGCAGAGAACUUUAAUACCGCUCAGAAUGAGGCCACCCAGUAGUUAGGUGUGAAUUUUCGAGACCUUUGGCACCGUUCUAAGAUGGGUCCUCUCUUCGUAGGCUAAUGCAUUGGCCCUUUUUGACCCGUUUUGGGGCGAAAACAAAAACUGACUCCCGGGCAUAUUUUUUUCGGCCUUUAUGGGCAGAGAACUUUAAUACCGCUCAGAAUGAGGCCACCCAGUAGUUAGGUGUGAAUUUUCGAGACCUCUGGCACCGUUCUAAGAUGGGUCCUCUCUUCGUAGGCUAAUGCAUUGGCCCUUUUUGACCCGUUUUGGGGCGAAAACAAAAACUGACUCCCGGGCAUAUUUUUUUCGGCCUUUAUGGGCAGAGAACUUUAAUGCCGCUCAGAAUGAGGCCACCCAGUAGUUAGGUGUGAAUUUUCGAGACCUUUGGCCACCGUUCUAAGAUGGGUCCUCUCUUCGUAGGCUAAUGCAUUGGCCCUUUUUGACCCGUUUUGGGGCGAAAACAAAAACUGACUCCCGGGCAUAUUUUUUUCGGCCUUUAUGGGCAGAGAACUUUAAUACCGCUCAGAAUGAGGCCACCCAGUAGUUAGGUGUGAAUUUUCGAGACCUUUGGCACCGUUCUAAGAUGGGUCCUCUCUUCGUAGGCUAAUGCAUUGGCCCUUUUUGACCCGUUUUGGGGCGAAAACAAAAACUGACUCCCGGGCAUAUUUUUUUCGGCCUUUAUGGGCAGAGAACUUUAAUACCGCUCAGAAUGAGGCCACCCAGUAGUUAGGUGUGAAUUUUCGAGACCUUCUGGCACCGUUCUAAGAUGGGUCCUCUCUUCGUAGGCUAAUGCAUUGGCCCUUUUUGACCCGUUUUGGGGCGAAAACAAAAACUGACUCCCGGGCAUAUUUUUUUCGGCCUUUAUGGGCAGAGAACUUUAAUGCCGCUCAGAAUGAGGCCACCCAGUAGUUAGGUGUGAAUUUUCGAGACCUCUGGCACCGUUCUAAGAUGGGUCCUCUCUUCGUAGGCUAAUGCAUUGGCCCUUUUUGACCCGUUUUGGGGCGAAAACAAAAACUGACUCCCGGGCAUAUUUUUUUCGGCCUUUAUGGGCAGAGAACUUUAAUACCGCUCAGAAUGAGGCCACCCAGUAGUUAGGUGUGAAUUUUCGAGACCUUUGGCACCGUUCUAAGAUGGGUCCUCUCUUCGUAGGCUAAUGCAUUGGCCCUUUUUGACCCGUUUUGGGGCGAAAACAAAAACUGACUCCCGGGCAUAUUUUUUUCGGCCUUUAUGGGCAGAGAACUUUAAUGCCGCUCAGAAUGAGGCCACCCAGUAGUUAGGUGUGAAUUUUCGAGACCUUUGGCACCGUUCUAAGAUGGGUCCUCUCUUCGUAGGCUAAUGCAUUGGCCCUUUUUGACCCGUUUUGGGGCGAAAACAAAAACUGACUCCCGGGCAUAUUUUUUUCGGCCUUUAUGGGCAGAGAACUUUAAUACCGCUCAAAAUGAGGCCACCCAGUAGUUAGGUGUGAAUUUUCGAGACCUCUGGCACCGUUCUAAGAUGGGUCCUCUCUUCGUAGGCUAAUGCAUUGGCCCUUUUUGACCCGUUUUGGGGCGAAAACAAAAACUGACUCCCGGGCAUAUUUUUUUCGGCCUUUAUGGGCAGAGAACUUUAAUACCGCUCAAAAUGAGGCCACCCAGUAGUUAGGUGUGAAUUUUCGAGACCUUUGGCACCGUUCUAAGAUGGGUCCUCUCUUCGUAGGCUAAUGCAUUGGCCCUUUUUGACCCGUUUUGGGGCGAAAACAAAAACUGACUCCCGGGCAUAUUUUUUUCGGCCUUUAUGGGCAGAGAACUUUAAUGCCGCUCAGAAUGAGGCCACCCAGUAGUUAGGUGUGAAUUUUCGAGACCUUUGGCACCGUUCUAAGAUGGGUCCUCUCUUCGUAGGCUAAUGCAUUGGCCCUUUUUGACCCGUUUUGGGGCGAAAACAAAAACUGACUCCCGGGCAUAUUUUUUUCGGCCUUUAUGGGCAGAGAACUUUAAUACCGCUCAAAAUGAGGCCACCCAGUAGUUAGGUGUGAAUUUUCGAGACCUUUGGCACCGUUCUAAGAUGGGUCCUCUCUUCGUAGGCUAAUGCAUUGGCCCUUUUUGACCCGUUUUGGGGCGAAAACAAAAACUGACUCCCGGGCAUAUUUUUUUCGGCCUUUAUGGGCAGAGAACUUUAAUACCGCUCAAAAUGAGGCCACCCAGUAGUUAGGUGUGAAUUUUCGAGACCUUUGGCACCGUUCUAAGAUGGGUCCUCUCUUCGUAGGCUAAUGCAUUGGCCCUUUUUGACCCGUUUUGGGGCGAAAACAAAAACUGACUCCCGGGCAUAUUUUUUUCGGCCUUUAUGGGCAGAGAACUUUAAUACCGCUCAAAAUGAGGCCACCCAGUAGUUAGGUGUGAAUUUUCGAGACCUCUGGCACCGUUCUAAGAUGGGUCCUCUCUUCGUAGGCUAAUGCAUUGGCCCUUUUUGACCCGUUUUGGGGCGAAAACAAAAACUGACUCCCGGGCAUAUUUUUUUCGGCCUUUAUGGGCAGAGAACUUUAAUGCCGCUCAAAAUGAGGCCACCCAGUAGUUAGGUGUGAAUUUUCGAGACCUCUGGCACCGUUCUAAGAUGGGUCCUCUCUUCGUAGGCUAAUGCAUUGGCCCUUUUUGACCCGUUUUGGGGCGAAAACAAAAACUGACUCCCGGGCAUAUUUUUUUCGGCCUUUAUGGGCAGAGAACUUUAAUACCGCUCAGAAUGAGGCCACCCAGUAGUUAGGUGUGAAUUUUCGAGACCUUUGGCACCGUUCUAAGAUGGGUCCUCUCUUCGUAGGCUAAUGCAUUGGCCCUUUUUGACCCGUUUUGGGGCGAAAACAAAAACUGACUCCCGGGCAUAUUUUUUUCGGCCUUUAUGGGCAGAGAACUUUAAUACCGCUCAAAAUGAGGCCACCCAGUAGUUAGGUGUGAAUUUUCGAGACCUUUGGCACCGUUCUAAGAUGGGUCCUCUCUUCGUAGGCUAAUGCAUUGGCCCUUUUUGACCCGUUUUGGGGCGAAAACAAAAACUGACUCCCGGGCAUAUUUUUUUCGGCCUUUAUGGGCAGAGAACUUUAAUACCGCUCAAAAUGAGGCCACCCAGUAGUUAGGUGUGAAUUUUCGAGACCUUUGGCACCGUUCUAAGAUGGGUCCUCUCUUCGUAGGCUAAUGCAUUGGCCCUUUUUGACCCGUUUUGGGGCGAAAACAAAAACUGACUCCCGGGCAUAUUUUUUUCGGCCUUUAUGGGCAGAGAACUUUAAUACCGCUCAAAAUGAGGCCACCCAGUAGUUAGGUGUGAAUUUUCGAGACCUUUGGCACCGUUCUAAGAUGGGUCCUCUCUUCGUAGGCUAAUGCAUUGGCCCUUUUUGACCCGUUUUGGGGCGAAAACAAAAACUGACUCCCGGGCAUAUUUUUUUCGGCCUUUAUGGGCAGAGAACUUUAAUACCGCUCAAAAUGAGGCCACCCAGUAGUUAGGUGUGAAUUUUCGAGACCUUUGGCACCGUUCUAAGAUGGGUCCUCUCUUCGUAGGCUAAUGCAUUGGCCCUUUUUGACCCGUUUUGGGGCGAAAACAAAAACUGACUCCCGGGCAUAUUUUUUUCGGCCUUUAUGGGCAGAGAACUUUAAUACCGCUCAAAAUGAGGCCACCCAGUAGUUAGGUGUGAAUUUUCGAGACCUUUGGCACCGUUCUAAGAUGGGUCCUCUCUUCGUAGGCUAAUGCAUUGGCCCUUUUUGACCCGUUUUGGGGCGAAAACAAAAACUGACUCCCGGGCAUAUUUUUUUCGGCCUUUAUGGGCAGAGAACUUUAAUACCGCUCAAAAUGAGGCCACCCAGUAGUUAGGUGUGAAUUUUCGAGACCUUUGGCACCGUUCUAAGAUGGGUCCUCUCUUCGUAGGCUAAUGCAUUGGCCCUUUUUGACCCGUUUUGGGGCGAAAACAAAAACUGACUCCCGGGCAUAUUUUUUUCGGCCUUUAUGGGCAGAGAACUUUAAUACCGCUCAAAAUGAGGCCACCCAGUAGUUAGGUGUGAAUUUUCGAGACCUUUGGCACCGUUCUAAGAUGGGUCCUCUCUUCGUAGGCUAAUGCAUUGGCCCUUUUUGACCCGUUUUGGGGCGAAAACAAAAACUGACUCCCGGGCAUAUUUUUUUCGGCCUUUAUGGGCAGAGAACUUUAAUACCGCUCAAAAUGAGGCCACCCAGUAGUUAGGUGUGAAUUUUCGAGACCUUUGGCACCGUUCUAAGAUGGGUCCUCUCUUCGUAGGCUAAUGCAUUGGCCCUUUUUGACCCGUUUUGGGGCGAAAACAAAAACUGACUCCCGGGCAUAUUUUUUUCGGCCUUUAUGGGCAGAGAACUUUAAUACCGCUCAAAAUGAGGCCACCCAGUAGUUAGGUGUGAAUUUUCGAGACCUUUGGCACCGUUCUAAGAUGGGUCCUCUCUUCGUAGGCUAAUGCAUUGGCCCUUUUUGACCCGUUUUGGGGCGAAAACAAAAACUGACUCCCGGGCAUAUUUUUUUCGGCCUUUAUGGGCAGAGAACUUUAAUACCGCUCAAAAUGAGGCCACCCAGUAGUUAGGUGUGAAUUUUCGAGACCUUUGGCACCGUUCUAAGAUGGGUCCUCUCUUCGUAGGCUAAUGCAUUGGCCCUUUUUGACCCGUUUUGGGGCGAAAACAAAAACUGACUCCCGGGCAUAUUUUUUUCGGCCUUUAUGGGCAGAGAACUUUAAUACCGCUCAAAAUGAGGCCACCCAGUAGUUAGGUGUGAAUUUUCGAGACCUUUGGCACCGUUCUAAGAUGGGUCCUCUCUUCGUAGGCUAAUGCAUUGGCCCUUUUUGACCCGUUUUGGGGCGAAAACAAAAACUGACUCCCGGGCAUAUUUUUUUCGGCCUUUAUGGGCAGAGAACUUUAAUACCGCUCAAAAUGAGGCCACCCAGUAGUUAGGUGUGAAUUUUCGAGACCUUUGGCACCGUUCUAAGAUGGGUCCUCUCUUCGUAGGCUAAUGCAUUGGCCCUUUUUGACCCGUUUUGGGGCGAAAACAAAAACUGACUCCCGGGCAUAUUUUUUUCGGCCUUUAUGGGCAGAGAACUUUAAUACCGCUCAAAAUGAGGCCACCCAGUAGUUAGGUGUGAAUUUUCGAGACCUUUGGCACCGUUCUAAGAUGGGUCCUCUCUUCGUAGGCUAAUGCAUUGGCCCUUUUUGACCCGUUUUGGGGCGAAAACAAAAACUGACUCCCGGGCAUAUUUUUUUCGGCCUUUAUGGGCAGAGAACUUUAAUACCGCUCAAAAUGAGGCCACCCAGUAGUUAGGUGUGAAUUUUCGAGACCUUUGGCACCGUUCUAAGAUGGGUCCUCUCUUCGUAGGCUAAUGCAUUGGCCCUUUUUGACCCGUUUUGGGGCGAAAACAAAAACUGACUCCCGGGCAUAUUUUUUUCGGCCUUUAUGGGCAGAGAACUUUAAUACCGCUCAAAAUGAGGCCACCCAGUAGUUAGGUGUGAAUUUUCGAGACCUUUGGCACCGUUCUAAGAUGGGUCCUCUCUUCGUAGGCUAAUGCAUUGGCCCUUUUUGACCCGUUUUGGGGCGAAAACAAAAACUGACUCCCGGGCAUAUUUUUUUCGGCCUUUAUGGGCAGAGAACUUUAAUACCGCUCAAAAUGAGGCCACCCAGUAGUUAGGUGUGAAUUUUCGAGACCUUUGGCACCGUUCUAAGAUGGGUCCUCUCUUCGUAGGCUAAUGCAUUGGCCCUUUUUGACCCGUUUUGGGGCGAAAACAAAAACUGACUCCCGGGCAUAUUUUUUUCGGCCUUUAUGGGCAGAGAACUUUAAUACCGCUCAAAAUGAGGCCACCCAGUAGUUAGGUGUGAAUUUUCGAGACCUUUGGCACCGUUCUAAGAUGGGUCCUCUCUUCGUAGGCUAAUGCAUUGGCCCUUUUUGACCCGUUUUGGGGCGAAAACAAAAACUGACUCCCGGGCAUAUUUUUUUCGGCCUUUAUGGGCAGAGAACUUUAAUACCGCUCAAAAUGAGGCCACCCAGUAGUUAGGUGUGAAUUUUCGAGACCUUUGGCACCGUUCUAAGAUGGGUCCUCUCUUCGUAGGCUAAUGCAUUGGCCCUUUUUGACCCGUUUUGGGGCGAAAACAAAAACUGACUCCCGGGCAUAUUUUUUUCGGCCUUUAUGGGCAGAGAACUUUAAUACCGCUCAAAAUGAGGCCACCCAGUAGUUAGGUGUGAAUUUUCGAGACCUUUGGCACCGUUCUAAGAUGGGUCCUCUCUUCGUAGGCUAAUGCAUUGGCCCUUUUUGACCCGUUUUGGGGCGAAAACAAAAACUGACUCCCGGGCAUAUUUUUUUCGGCCUUUAUGGGCAGAGAACUUUAAUACCGCUCAAAAUGAGGCCACCCAGUAGUUAGGUGUGAAUUUUCGAGACCUUUGGCACCGUUCUAAGAUGGGUCCUCUCUUCGUAGGCUAAUGCAUUGGCCCUUUUUGACCCGUUUUGGGGCGAAAACAAAAACUGACUCCCGGGCAUAUUUUUUUCGGCCUUUAUGGGCAGAGAACUUUAAUACCGCUCAAAAUGAGGCCACCCAGUAGUUAGGUGUGAAUUUUCGAGACCUUUGGCACCGUUCUAAGAUGGGUCCUCUCUUCGUAGGCUAAUGCAUUGGCCCUUUUUGACCCGUUUUGGGGCGAAAACAAAAACUGACUCCCGGGCAUAUUUUUUUCGGCCUUUAUGGGCAGAGAACUUUAAUACCGCUCAAAAUGAGGCCACCCAGUAGUUAGGUGUGAAUUUUCGAGACCUUUGGCACCGUUCUAAGAUGGGUCCUCUCUUCGUAGGCUAAUGCAUUGGCCCUUUUUGACCCGUUUUGGGGCGAAAACAAAAACUGACUCCCGGGCAUAUUUUUUUCGGCCUUUAUGGGCAGAGAACUUUAAUACCGCUCAAAAUGAGGCCACCCAGUAGUUAGGUGUGAAUUUUCGAGACCUUUGGCACCGUUCUAAGAUGGGUCCUCUCUUCGUAGGCUAAUGCAUUGGCCCUUUUUGACCCGUUUUGGGGCGAAAACAAAAACUGACUCCCGGGCAUAUUUUUUUCGGCCUUUAUGGGCAGAGAACUUUAAUACCGCUCAAAAUGAGGCCACCCAGUAGUUAGGUGUGAAUUUUCGAGACCUUUGGCACCGUUCUAAGAUGGGUCCUCUCUUCGUAGGCUAAUGCAUUGGCCCUUUUUGACCCGUUUUGGGGCGAAAACAAAAACUGACUCCCGGGCAUAUUUUUUUCGGCCUUUAUGGGCAGAGAACUUUAAUACCGCUCAAAAUGAGGCCACCCAGUAGUUAGGUGUGAAUUUUCGAGACCUUUGGCACCGUUCUAAGAUGGGUCCUCUCUUCGUAGGCUAAUGCAUUGGCCCUUUUUGACCCGUUUUGGGGCGAAAACAAAAACUGACUCCCGGGCAUAUUUUUUUCGGCCUUUAUGGGCAGAGAACUUUAAUACCGCUCAAAAUGAGGCCACCCAGUAGUUAGGUGUGAAUUUUCGAGACCUUUGGCACCGUUCUAAGAUGGGUCCUCUCUUCGUAGGCUAAUGCAUUGGCCCUUUUUGACCCGUUUUGGGGCGAAAACAAAAACUGACUCCCGGGCAUAUUUUUUUCGGCCUUUAUGGGCAGAGAACUUUAAUACCGCUCAAAAUGAGGCCACCCAGUAGUUAGGUGUGAAUUUUCGAGACCUUUGGCACCGUUCUAAGAUGGGUCCUCUCUUCGUAGGCUAAUGCAUUGGCCCUUUUUGACCCGUUUUGGGGCGAAAACAAAAACUGACUCCCGGGCAUAUUUUUUUCGGCCUUUAUGGGCAGAGAACUUUAAUACCGCUCAAAAUGAGGCCACCCAGUAGUUAGGUGUGAAUUUUCGAGACCUUUGGCACCGUUCUAAGAUGGGUCCUCUCUUCGUAGGCUAAUGCAUUGGCCCUUUUUGACCCGUUUUGGGGCGAAAACAAAAACUGACUCCCGGGCAUAUUUUUUUCGGCCUUUAUGGGCAGAGAACUUUAAUACCGCUCAAAAUGAGGCCACCCAGUAGUUAGGUGUGAAUUUUCGAGACCUUUGGCACCGUUCUAAGAUGGGUCCUCUCUUCGUAGGCUAAUGCAUUGGCCCUUUUUGACCCGUUUUGGGGCGAAAACAAAAACUGACUCCCGGGCAUAUUUUUUUCGGCCUUUAUGGGCAGAGAACUUUAAUACCGCUCAAAAUGAGGCCACCCAGUAGUUAGGUGUGAAUUUUCGAGACCUUUGGCACCGUUCUAAGAUGGGUCCUCUCUUCGUAGGCUAAUGCAUUGGCCCUUUUUGACCCGUUUUGGGGCGAAAACAAAAACUGACUCCCGGGCAUAUUUUUUUCGGCCUUUAUGGGCAGAGAACUUUAAUACCGCUCAAAAUGAGGCCACCCAGUAGUUAGGUGUGAAUUUUCGAGACCUUUGGCACCGUUCUAAGAUGGGUCCUCUCUUCGUAGGCUAAUGCAUUGGCCCUUUUUGACCCGUUUUGGGGCGAAAACAAAAACUGACUCCCGGGCAUAUUUUUUUCGGCCUUUAUGGGCAGAGAACUUUAAUACCGCUCAAAAUGAGGCCACCCAGUAGUUAGGUGUGAAUUUUCGAGACCUUUGGCACCGUUCUAAGAUGGGUCCUCUCUUCGUAGGCUAAUGCAUUGGCCCUUUUUGACCCGUUUUGGGGCGAAAACAAAAACUGACUCCCGGGCAUAUUUUUUUCGGCCUUUAUGGGCAGAGAACUUUAAUACCGCUCAAAAUGAGGCCACCCAGUAGUUAGGUGUGAAUUUUCGAGACCUUUGGCACCGUUCUAAGAUGGGUCCUCUCUUCGUAGGCUAAUGCAUUGGCCCUUUUUGACCCGUUUUGGGGCGAAAACAAAAACUGACUCCCGGGCAUAUUUUUUUCGGCCUUUAUGGGCAGAGAACUUUAAUACCGCUCAAAAUGAGGCCACCCAGUAGUUAGGUGUGAAUUUUCGAGACCUCUUGGCACCGUUCUAAGAUGGGUCCUCUCUUCGUAGGCUAAUGCAUUGGCCCUUUUUGACCCGUUUUGGGGCGAAAACAAAAACUGACUCCCGGGCAUAUUUUUUUCGGCCUUUAUGGGCAGAGAACUUUAAUACCGCUCAAAAUGAGGCCACCCAGUAGUUAGGUGUGAAUUUUCGAGACCUCUGGCACCGUUCUAAGAUGGGUCCUCUCUUCGUAGGCUAAUGCAUUGGCCCUUUUUGACCCGUUUUGGGGCGAAAACAAAAACUGACUCCCGGGCAUAUUUUUUUCGGCCUUUAUGGGCAGAGAACUUUAAUGCCGCUCAAAAUGAGGCCACCCAGUAGUUAGGUGUGAAUUUUCGAGACCUCUGGCACCGUUCUAAGAUGGGUCCUCUCUUCGUAGGCUAAUGCAUUGGCCCUUUUUGACCCGUUUUGGGGCGAAAACAAAAACUGACUCCCGGGCAUAUUUUUUUCGGCCUUUAUGGGCAGAGAACUUUAAUACCGCUCAGAAUGAGGCCACCCAGUAGUUAGGUGUGAAUUUUCGAGACCUUCUGGCACCGUUCUAAGAUGGGUCCUCUCUUCGUAGGCUAAUGCAUUGGCCCUUUUUGACCCGUUUUGGGGCGAAAACAAAAACUGACUCCCGGGCAUAUUUUUUUCGGCCUUUAUGGGCAGAGAACUUUAAUACCGCUCAGAAUGAGGCCACCCAGUAGUUAGGUGUGAAUUUUCGAGACCUCUGGCACCGUUCUAAGAUGGGUCCUCUCUUCGUAGGCUAAUGCAUUGGCCCUUUUUGACCCGUUUUGGGGCGAAAACAAAAACUGACUCCCGGGCAUAUUUUUUUCGGCCUUUAUGGGCAGAGAACUUUAAUACCGCUCAGAAUGAGGCCACCCAGUAGUUAGGUGUGAAUUUUCGAGACCUUUGGCACCGUUCUAAGAUGGGUCCUCUCUUCGUAGGCUAAUGCAUUGGCCCUUUUUGACCCGUUUUGGGGCGAAAACAAAAACUGACUCCCGGGCAUAUUUUUUUCGGCCUUUAUGGGCAGAGAACUUUAAUGCCGCUCAGAAUGAGGCCACCCAGUAGUUAGGUGUGAAUUUUCGAGACCUUUGGCACCGUUCUAAGAUGGGUCCUCUCUUCGUAGGCUAAUGCAUUGGCCCUUUUUGACCCGUUUUGGGGCGAAAACAAAAACUGACUCCCGGGCAUAUUUUUUUCGGCCUUUAUGGGCAGAGAACUUUAAUGCCGCUCAGAAUGAGGCCACCCAGUAGUUAGGUGUGAAUUUUCGAGACCUCUGGCACCGUUCUAAGAUGGGUCCUCUCUUCGUAGGCUAAUGCAUUGGCCCUUUUUGACCCGUUUUGGGGCGAAAACAAAAACUGACUCCCGGGCAUAUUUUUUUCGGCCUUUAUGGGCAGAGAACUUUAAUACCGCUCAAAAUGAGGCCACCCAGUAGUUAGGUGUGAAUUUUCGAGACCUUUGGCACCGUUCUAAGAUGGGUCCUCUCUUCGUAGGCUAAUGCAUUGGCCCUUUUUGACCCGUUUUGGGGCGAAAACAAAAACUGACUCCCGGGCAUAUUUUUUUCGGCCUUUAUGGGCAGAGAACUUUAAUACCGCUCAAAAUGAGGCCACCCAGUAGUUAGGUGUGAAUUUUCGAGACCUCUGGCACCGUUCUAAGAUGGGUCCUCUCUUCGUAGGCUAAUGCAUUGGCCCUUUUUGACCCGUUUUGGGGCGAAAACAAAAACUGACUCCCGGGCAUAUUUUUUUCGGCCUUUAUGGGCAGAGAACUUUAAUACCGCUCAAAAUGAGGCCACCCAGUAGUUAGGUGUGAAUUUUCGAGACCUUUGGCACCGUUCUAAGAUGGGUCCUCUCUUCGUAGGCUAAUGCAUUGGCCCUUUUUGACCCGUUUUGGGGCGAAAACAAAAACUGACUCCCGGGCAUAUUUUUUUCGGCCUUUAUGGGCAGAGAACUUUAAUACCGCUCAGAAUGAGGCCACCCAGUAGUUAGGUGUGAAUUUUCGAGACCUUUGGCACCGUUCUAAGAUGGGUCCUCUCUUCGUAGGCUAAUGCAUUGGCCCUUUUUGACCCGUUUUGGGGCGAAAACAAAAACUGACUCCCGGGCAUAUUUUUUUCGGCCUUUAUGGGCAGAGAACUUUAAUACGCCGCUCAGAAUGAGGCCACCCAGUAGUUAGGUGUGAAUUUUCGAGACCUUUGGCACCGUUCUAAGAUGGGUCCUCUCUUCGUAGGCUAAUGCAUUGGCCCUUUUUGACCCGUUUUGGGGCGAAAACAAAAACUGACUCCCGGGCAUAUUUUUUUCGGCCUUUAUGGGCAGAGAACUUUAAUACCGCUCAGAAUGAGGCCACCCAGUAGUUAGGUGUGAAUUUUCGAGACCUUUGGCACCGUUCUAAGAUGGGUCCUCUCUUCGUAGGCUAAUGCAUUGGCCCUUUUUGACCCGUUUUGGGGCGAAAACAAAAACUGACUCCCGGGCAUAUUUUUUUCGGCCUUUAUGGGCAGAGAACUUUAAUACCGCUCAGAAUGAGGCCACCCAGUAGUUAGGUGUGAAUUUUCGAGACCUUUGGCACCGUUCUAAGAUGGGUCCUCUCUUCGUAGGCUAAUGCAUUGGCCCUUUUUGACCCGUUUUGGGGCGAAAACAAAAACUGACUCCCGGGCAUAUUUUUUUCGGCCUUUAUGGGCAGAGAACUUUAAUACCGCUCAAAAUGAGGCCACCCAGUAGUUAGGUGUGAAUUUUCGAGACCUUCUGGCACCGUUCUAAGAUGGGUCCUCUCUUCGUAGGCUAAUGCAUUGGCCCUUUUUGACCCGUUUUGGGGCGAAAACAAAAACUGACUCCCGGGCAUAUUUUUUUCGGCCUUUAUGGGCAGAGAACUUUAAUACCGCUCAAAAUGAGGCCACCCAGUAGUUAGGUGUGAAUUUUCGAGACCUCUGGCACCGUUCUAAGAUGGGUCCUCUCUUCGUAGGCUAAUGCAUUGGCCCUUUUUGACCCGUUUUGGGGCGAAAACAAAAACUGACUCCCGGGCAUAUUUUUUUCGGCCUUUAUGGGCAGAGAACUUUAAUACCCGCUCAGAAUGAGGCCACCCAGUAGUUAGGUGUGAAUUUUCGAGACCUUCUGGCACCGUUCUAAGAUGGGUCCUCUCUUCGUAGGCUAAUGCAUUGGCCCUUUUUGACCCGUUUUGGGGCGAAAACAAAAACUGACUCCCGGGCAUAUUUUUUUCGGCCUUUAUGGGCAGAGAACUUUAAUACCGCUCAAAAUGAGGCCACCCAGUAGUUAGGUGUGAAUUUUCGAGACCUCUGGCACCGUUCUAAGAUGGGUCCUCUCUUCGUAGGCUAAUGCAUUGGCCCUUUUUGACCCGUUUUGGGGCGAAAACAAAAACUGACUCCCGGGCAUAUUUUUUUCGGCCUUUAUGGGCAGAGAACUUUAAUACCGCUCAAAAUGAGGCCACCCAGUAGUUAGGUGUGAAUUUUCGAGACCUUUGGCACCGUUCUAAGAUGGGUCCUCUCUUCGUAGGCUAAUGCAUUGGCCCUUUUUGACCCGUUUUGGGGCGAAAACAAAAACUGACUCCCGGGCAUAUUUUUUUCGGCCUUUAUGGGCAGAGAACUUUAAUGCCGCUCAGAAUGAGGCCACCCAGUAGUUAGGUGUGAAUUUUCGAGACCUUUGGCACCGUUCUAAGAUGGGUCCUCUCUUCGUAGGCUAAUGCAUUGGCCCUUUUUGACCCGUUUUGGGGCGAAAACAAAAACUGACUCCCGGGCAUAUUUUUUUCGGCCUUUAUGGGCAGAGAACUUUAAUGCCGCUCAAAAUGAGGCCACCCAGUAGUUAGGUGUGAAUUUUCGAGACCUUUGGCACCGUUCUAAGAUGGGUCCUCUCUUCGUAGGCUAAUGCAUUGGCCCUUUUUGACCCGUUUUGGGGCGAAAACAAAAACUGACUCCCGGGCAUAUUUUUUUCGGCCUUUAUGGGCAGAGAACUUUAAUACCGCUCAAAAUGAGGCCACCCAGUAGUUAGGUGUGAAUUUUCGAGACCUUUGGCACCGUUCUAAGAUGGGUCCUCUCUUCGUAGGCUAAUGCAUUGGCCCUUUUUGACCCGUUUUGGGGCGAAAACAAAAACUGACUCCCGGGCAUAUUUUUUUCGGCCUUUAUGGGCAGAGAACUUUAAUGCCGCUCAAAAUGAGGCCACCCAGUAGUUAGGUGUGAAUUUUCGAGACCUUUGGCACCGUUCUAAGAUGGGUCCUCUCUUCGUAGGCUAAUGCAUUGGCCCUUUUUGACCCGUUUUGGGGCGAAAACAAAAACUGACUCCCGGGCAUAUUUUUUUCGGCCUUUAUGGGCAGAGAACUUUAAUACCCGCUCAGAAUGAGGCCACCCAGUAGUUAGGUGUGAAUUUUCGAGACCUUUGGCACCGUUCUAAGAUGGGUCCUCUCUUCGUAGGCUAAUGCAUUGGCCCUUUUUGACCCGUUUUGGGGCGAAAACAAAAACUGACUCCCGGGCAUAUUUUUUUCGGCCUUUAUGGGCAGAGAACUUUAAUACCGCUCAGAAAUGAGGCCACCCAGUAGUUAGGUGUGAAUUUUCGAGACCUUUGGCACCGUUCUAAGAUGGGUCCUCUCUUCGUAGGCUAAUGCAUUGGCCCUUUUUGACCCGUUUUGGGGCGAAAACAAAAACUGACUCCCGGGCAUAUUUUUUUCGGCCUUUAUGGGCAGAGAACUUUAAUACCGCUCAGAAAUGAGGCCACCCAGUAGUUAGGUGGGAAUUUUCGAGACCUUUGGCACCGUUCUAAGAUGGGUCCUCUCUUCGUAGGCUAAUGCAUUGGCCCUUUUUGACCCGUUUUGGGGCGAAAACAAAAACUGACUCCCGGGCAUAUUUUUUUCGGCCUUUAUGGGCAGAGAACUUUAACACCGCUCAAAAUGAGGCCACCCAGUAGUUAGGUGUGAAUUUUCGAGACCUUUGGCACCGUUCUAAGAUGGGUCCUCUCUUCGUAGGCUAAUGCAUUGGCCCUUUUUGACCCGUUUUGGGGCGAAAACAAAAACUGACUCCCGGGCAUAUUUUUUUCGGCCUUUAUGGGCAGAGAACUUUAAUACCGCUCAAAAUGAGGCCACCCAGUAGUUAGGUGUGAAUUUUCGAGACCUUUGGCACCGUUCUAAGAUGGGUCCUCUCUUCGUAGGCUAAUGCAUUGGCCCUUUUUGACCCGUUUUGGGGCGAAAACAAAAACUGACUCCCGGGCAUAUUUUUUUCGGCCUUUAUGGGCAGAGAACUUUAACACCGCUCAAAAUGAGGCCACCCAGUAGUUAGGUGGGAAUUUUCGAGACCUUUGGCACCGUUCUAAGAUGGGUCCUCUCUUCGUAGGCUAAUGCAUUGGCCCUUUUUGACCCGUUUUGGGGCGAAAACAAAAACUGACUCCCGGGCAUAUUUUUUUUCGGCCUUUAUGGGCAGAGAACUUUAACACCGCUCAAAAUGAGGCCACCCAGUAGUUAGGUGGGAAUUUUCGAGACCUUUGGCACCGUUCUAAGAUGGGUCCUCUCUUCGUAGGCUAAUGCAUUGGCCCUUUUUGACCCGUUUUGGGGCGAAAACAAAAACUGACUCCCGGGCAUAUUUUUC